RNAcentral lists this ribosomal RNA (525 nucleotides) under uncultured bacterium. RNAcentral describes it as "bacterial SSU rRNA". It matches the Rfam family "Bacterial small subunit ribosomal RNA", at positions 29 to 528 of the family's 1533-position model. The record is from RNAcentral.
AACGAACGCUGGCGGCGUGCUUAACACAUGCAAGUCGAACGCGAAAGGGACUUCGGUCCUGAGUAAAGUGGCGCACGGGUGAGUAACGCGUGGAUAAUCUACCCGAUGGACCGGGAUAACAUUUCGAAAGGGGUGCUAAUACCGGAUAAGACCACGGCUUCUUAGGGGGCUGCGGUAAAAGGUGGGGACCUUCGGGCCUACCGUCAUCGGAUGAGUCCGCGUACCAUUAGCUAGUUGGUAGGGUAAGGGCCUACCAAGGCGACGAUGGUUAGCUGGUCUGAGAGGAUGAUCAGCCACACUGGAACUGAGACACGGUCCAGACUCCUACGGGAGGCAGCAGUGGGGAAUUUUGCGCAAUGGGGGAAACCCUGACGCAGCAACGCCGCGUGAGUGAUGAAGGCCUUCGGGUCGUAAAGCUCUGUCAGAGGGGAAGGAAAUGCAGGGGUGGCUAAUAUCAUCUUUGCUUGUACGGUACCCUCCAAAGGAAGCACCGGCUAACUCCGUGCCAGCAGCCGCGGUAAACGU